CUGAUGUAUCGUCAUGUGUAUUUCUUUGUAGCCUCUUUCUGUUUCAUCUGUCUUAUCAGGCUCUUGUGUGCAGAUGAGGAUCCAAGCAGGCAUGACAACACUGAAUUUAAACAAAGGAUCACUUGUCACACUUUGCUUCGGUCCAUGAACAGGUGGAGCCUUGAUGUUAUGGUGACCUAUAGACUGUAUAUGUUGCUUAGAGUCUGAAAAUGACUGGUGGGAAGGAAGGAUGAGAGAAGACUGCAAACUGAUGAAUGACCAGGAGGAGUCAUCAUUAUUUACUGUCCUCCAACUAGAAGAACCAGGGGACCCCAGCAAGGAUAUGUGUUGUGGAGGUGAACAAGACCUUUCUGAGAACAGAGUGACUUCUACAAGCAAUUUUCUAAGGAAAUGUUAUGCCAGUGCCCUGUUUUCAAUACCCCUCUCCGCUGAGAAAAACAUGACAAAAUGUCUAAGCCAAGCUCCAGUGAGCAUUAUUAAAGAAUAGAGAGAGAUUACUUCCUGCUUGGUGUGUAUCCAAAGAAAACUGCAAAUAAUGUUUUCUGCUCAUGGGAGAAGGAAGGAACUCCAUAAGUGAAGCAUACUGAGUGUGAAAGGAGUAAGCUUCUCUUCACCACGUAAAAAGUAAACCAUCUUGAGUUGGUAAGAACAAAGUCUAUUGACAGAUGACACUGAGGACUGUGAUUACAUGGAGAGAGAAAAAAGGAAAUGAGGAAAAAUAAUGCUGAGCUGAUGCUUCAUAGGAAACACUCGAGAUGAUGGAUAGCUAUGCUAUUCUUUUGCAAGCAUCAACUGUCUUCCGUUAUGAUUAGUGCUAGCUGAAUCAACCCUGAAAUAGAUGAAAAGCUGCCACUAUCCCAAGUUCCAGUGUGUACAUAAGAAUUU
RNAcentral lists this long non-coding RNA (885 nucleotides) under Taeniopygia guttata (zebra finch). RNAcentral's name for it is "lncRNA (ENSTGUG00000021511.1)". Lineage: Eukaryota; Metazoa; Chordata; Aves; Passeriformes; Estrildidae. The record is from RNAcentral.